Oryza rufipogon (brownbeard rice) is the source of this 201-nucleotide microRNA precursor. It matches the Rfam family "MIR812 microRNA precursor family". The record is from Rfam. NCBI's taxonomy places the organism in Eukaryota, Viridiplantae, Streptophyta, Magnoliopsida, Poales, Poaceae.
UUUAAAUACAACCAUAACUUUCCGCGCUCAACUUUAAUCGUCCAUCUUAUUUAAUUUUUUUUUAUAAUUGCUAUUUUUGUUAUUAUGAGAUGGUAAAACAUGAAUAGUACUUUACUCGUGACUUAUAUUUUUAAAUUUUAAAAAAAAUUAAAUAAGACGAACGGUUAAAGUUAGGCGCGGAAAAUCAUGGCUGCACUUAAA